Non-coding RNA from Myotis brandtii (Brandt's bat), 75 nucleotides. NCBI's taxonomy places the organism in Eukaryota, Metazoa, Chordata, Mammalia, Chiroptera, Vespertilionidae. The record is from Rfam.
GGCAGUUCUCAGGUGAUGCACCCUGGAAUCGGGCUCCUUCCUCUCUGGUUCCGGGUUCAGCACCCUAGAACCGCA